This 689-nucleotide long non-coding RNA is filed under the name Mus pahari (shrew mouse). Its description in RNAcentral is "lncRNA (MGP_PahariEiJ_G0006467.1)". The record is from RNAcentral. Lineage: Eukaryota; Metazoa; Chordata; Mammalia; Rodentia; Muridae.
GGGAUUUCCUUGGUUGGUUUCCAUAGCUUGAUAGACCAAAAACAGAAACACGGCCACAACAGCAAACAGUAACACUUUUAUCCACAUGGGGACGGAGCGUCUCUUCUUUGUCUUUUCUGACUUGACAUCUGCCAAAGGAGCGUACUUCGGGAUGUACUUAGAUGAAAACGACUCUUCCAUCCUGAAGUCACUGAGCUCGAGCGGCCGGCCUGCAGCGCCUUUGAUUGGUCUGCGGCAGCUAGCACUGUUCAAAGUGAAACAGAAUUCCAGAUGAUUCAACAACAAACCUUCAUGUGACUGCUUAGCACACUGCAAAAUGCAGCAGGAGAGAAUCGUCAGAUAAAAGCAGAGGAUCUACUUAUCACAUACUUUUCUUUUCUUUUUUGGUUUUUCAAGACAGGGUUUCUCUGUGUAGCACUGGCUGUCCUGGAACUCACUCUGUAGACCAGAGCUGUUAUAGAGCAACCAUGUUUCGAACACUCCAAAAUAAGUUAGCUGUAUCAUUAUAAAAUAGUAUUUAGGAUAAAUACUCUCUAAGCCUGUCUUAGAGGCUCAGUAGUGUACUGUGUGCCUGUGAUCGCAGCACUUGGGAAGUAUGUCACAAGUCUUAACAUCUGCCUUGCAUACAUGGUAAAUCCAAGAUCAGCCUGGUGAUCUGAGAACUUGUCUCAAAAAAGAAAAUAAAACUU